This is a long non-coding RNA of Musa acuminata AAA Group (dessert banana), 1096 nucleotides long. RefSeq lists it as uncharacterized. The transcript has 3 exons. Lineage: Eukaryota; Viridiplantae; Streptophyta; Magnoliopsida; Zingiberales; Musaceae. The record is from RefSeq and is a predicted model, not a curated record.
UCAUACUCUCAGGGAACAAGCACCAAUUAUUAAUAGAUUGAUGUAAGAUUCUUGUAGCUGGCAAGUUUCAUUCAACCAUCCCUAUACUAAGGUGUCAGGACUUCAGAGGCAACCCUGAGAUGCCAACUUAAUAUGCUUUUAUCAGAAAAGAAUUUCCUCAUCCUGCAUCGCAAAUUUUGAAGGAUUUACAGUAAAAGACAUGGUAGAUGAUCUCACCACUUUUGUCUACUAAGUCACAGAUUGGCAUAGUCACCAAGCUCUUAGCUCUGUCAUCUAUGAUAACCACAAUAAUCAGAUGUUACUAUCAUUAAGUUUGGCUCUCUGACUUUUUAUGCUUCCUAUGUGUUUUGCUGCAUUUUUAAUUGAUGUUAACCUCUGAAGCAUGGAAAGCCGAUUCCUUACAUUCAUCUCAUGUUAUGAAGGAUCUGUCUUGUCAUUAGUUCAUAAUACUGUUCUUGUGAUGUUGGAUGCUUGACAGACUAUAUACAUUGGGUGUCUUUUCAUUGACAUUAAAAGGUUGGUUGACACAAGUAUGUCAUCCUUUGUUUCAGGAACAUGAAUAGCCUAAAAAAUUCUGAAGUAAAUAUUACACUAAAACAUUCAUCUUUGUCUAUUGCUUUCAGUUUGUUUCAGUCUUUAAAUCAAGUCAAGAAGGGUAGCCACAGUUUUUGAUAGUAUAGUUAAUUUACAUGGUUAAUGCCAUCAUCUUCAAGACAGGUAAUAAUUUAAGCUUUCGAUGCCGCUGGUGUGAAGACAACAUAAGCUUGUGGUUUCAAUUCCUAUAUUAGCUGUUGUUGAUGUUGGUGAUUCACUAAACUUGAGUGGUAGAAGAAGCAUCAUGUACUGUUGCUGUCAAUGGACUCUGCGUCAAAUGUGCCUCCUUGUUCGAUGAAGAACACGAAUCCUCGGGCAUAUCAUUGGAACUGUAUUUUUCAUCUGUUGUGCCUCUGAUGGAUCAUCAACUGCAACAUUGAAACAAUGGUGUUUUGUUUGGCCUCUAUUCAUUAGCAGUGAAAAUUGGAUGAGAUGUCUGUGAUCAUUCAUCAACUGCUGAGAAACUGUUUAAGAUGAGAACACAUCGUCAAUUCAAGCAAUG